This 29-nucleotide ribosomal RNA is filed under the name Alkekengi officinarum (Japanese lantern). The record is from RNAcentral. Lineage: Eukaryota; Viridiplantae; Streptophyta; Magnoliopsida; Solanales; Solanaceae.
CUCCUUGGAAGUCUUCGUGUUGCAUCCCU